CUCAUUUUUUAAUGGCUCUCAAAUUAGCUCACUAUAACAGAAUUAAAUUAUAUAGACAUAUCUUUGAGACACUAUUGUAUAAGUGUUCUAUUUAUACCAAAACUUUUAAAAAAAUCUAUUAAGGCCUAAAUAUAAAGUUUAAUCCAAUCAAAAAUAAAAAAAUUCUUUACUCAACCAACCCCACCCAGUCUAUUUGGUUCGAUUACAAAUAGAUAAGGAAAAAAAAAUUUGAUCAGUUCGACCGCGAGAAUCUCACAGAGAUCGUAGAGGGCUACAAUUACCAUAUGUCCCUCUGCCACAAAUCGAUGGAAGAGUGGGUGCCAAAUAUGAGAUGACCUCACAUAUAGCGACCCCACAUAUAAGAAUGCUUUAAAAAAUUAUCGGUAAUUUAGCCAACAACAUUUUUUUAAUUUAUACCGAUAUUUAAAAUUGUUGUUAUAUAUCGUUUUUGUUGUAGUAACUAAGUUUGAAAUUUGAUUCAAUUAAAAUUUUUUUCAUAAUUA
RNAcentral lists this long non-coding RNA (503 nucleotides) under Ananas comosus (pineapple). Its description in RNAcentral is "long non-coding RNA (ACOM_LNC029508)". Lineage: Eukaryota; Viridiplantae; Streptophyta; Magnoliopsida; Poales; Bromeliaceae. The record is from RNAcentral.